This 1337-nucleotide long non-coding RNA is filed under the name Solanum melongena (eggplant). RNAcentral's name for it is "long non-coding RNA (SMEL_LNC000013)". The record is from RNAcentral. Lineage: Eukaryota; Viridiplantae; Streptophyta; Magnoliopsida; Solanales; Solanaceae.
GAUAUAGAAAAUACUUUAGAUUAUGGUGUUUAUACAUCAGCCCAACCAAUGACUAUUCAUGAUUCCAUAAUUGAAUCAAUUCCAUACCGGUUCUUAGAGGAAUGUUAUGGUAAAACUUCGUUUGAAACGAUGUGGUAGAAAGCAACGUGCGACUUGAAGGACACGAUCCGUUGUGGAUUUGUACAUCCACCAUUUUUUGUAGGAAUGAAGGUGCUCUUAACUCGACAUCAUUGGUUCUGUUUCACUAGAACCCCUCGUUUUUUGUUGUCUUGGAAUGUAAAUAGUCCAUGAUGGAGCUCGAGUAGAAAGUAUUAAUUUCUUUCUCGGGGCAAGGGUCUAGGGUUAAUGCCAAUCAAUAAAACAAUUGAAACAACUUCGUAAAUAUAUCUAAUAUAUCUUAGGUAUGGAAAUCGAAAGAAUCCAAUUCGAGCAAGUUUCAAAUUAAAAAAUUUAUUGGAAUUGAUCAAACUUUUUCGAUCCAAAGUGUUUCACGAGGGAAUCCAUCAUCUUGUAGGAUUCUUUCAUAAAAAUCGCAAAAAGGGUAUGUUGCUGCCAUUUUGAAAGGAUUAAAAAGCACCGAAGUAAUGUCUAAACCCAAUGAUUUAAAAUAAAACAAAGAUAAAGGAUCCCAGAACAAGGAAACACCUUUUUAAUUGUCUUAAUAACUGGAUCAGACUGAAGAAUCCGAUUUUAAACGAGACAAACAAAAAAGGAGGAAAGACCGCUCAAUAAAUGAAAUUGCCGAAAGAUUUUCCUUUGAACUGUUUGAAAGUUAUCCAACUUGAGUUAUGAGAGUACGAAUGGUUUAUUUUUCAUUUUAAGGAAGAACGAAGAAAAAAAGACUUAGAUCUUUAAUUGCUUUGAUCAUUUUAUGGAUCCAGUUGUCAUUUCUUAGAUAGAAUUCCAUACAAAGACAAAACUUCGAAUCAAUCAUUUUUCUCGAGCCGUACGAGGAGAAAGCUUCCUAUACGUUUCUAGGGGGGGUGUUGUUCAUCUACAUCUAUCCCAAUGAGCCGUCUAUCGAAUCGUUGCAAUUGAUGUUCGAUCCCGAAGAGAAGGAAAAGAUCUUCAGAAAGUGGGUUUUUAUGAUCCGAUAAAGAAUCAAACUUAUUUAAAUGUUCCUGCUAUUUUAUAUUUCCUUGAAAAAGGGGCUCAACCUACAGAAACUGUUCAGGAUAUUUUAAAGAAGGCAGAGGUUUUUAAGGAACUUCGUCUUAAUCAACCGAAAUUCAAUUAAGGAAAUAAAUUAAGGAAAUACAAAAAAGGGGGUAGUGAUUUGUAUAUAACUUUGUAUGACUUUUCUCUUCUAUUUUUUUGUAUUUCCUCCCUUUCCUUUU